This is an RNA transcript of Epinephelus moara (kelp grouper), 2974 nucleotides long. It is a transcript of the gene named sialate O-acetylesterase-like, with no coding region annotated. The transcript has 11 exons. NCBI's taxonomy places the organism in Eukaryota, Metazoa, Chordata, Actinopteri, Perciformes, Serranidae. The record is from RefSeq and is a predicted model, not a curated record.
CUCGGAGACACGGAAGUGUCAGUUAGUUACAAAGUUUUCUGUCUGUAGCACGAUAUGCCGCUUAACAUAUCAGCCAGUUGACUUAAUAGUUUCUGACAGAGUUGUUUCCAGCUUUAGGUUUACAUGUGUUGUCUUCAUCUUCCUGUCAUGGCGAUAACUCUGUGUGUUGUUUUGAUAUUUGUAGCUGCCAUUCACAGAUGUGAGGGGGACCUGAGCUUUGCCUCCUACUAUGGGGACCACAUGGUGCUGCAGAAGUCUCCAGAGAGAGCUGUGCUGUGGGGCUAUGGCUGUGAUGGAGCACAGGUGACCCUCAUCCUGUCAGGACCAACAAAACAGAAAACCUCACCAGUCAAUGUGACAAAUGGAAUCUGGCGAGUCACCCUCGACCCUGUUGAAGCUGGUGGUCCCUACAAUGUGACAGCAGUCACCAAGGACAGCAGUGCCACUCUGACAGAUGUGCUGUUUGGAGAUAUUUGGCUGUGUGGGGGGCAGAGCAACAUGUGGUUUAACAUGUCUAUGGUUUUCAAUGCAUCAGAGGAGCUGAAACUCUCAGAGAAGUAUCCUGAUGUGAGGUUUUUUAUGGCGGCUUUGAACCAGAGUAAAACUGAGCUGCUUGAUUUGACUGACGUGGAAAUUCCCUGGUCUGUGGCCCCAACAAAUCUGGAAGGUUUCUCUGCAGUCUGCUGGCUCUAUGGACGUUACUUGUACGACACGCUUAAGUACCCCAUAGGACUGGUGGAGUCGUGCUGGGGAGGCACACCUGUCGAAGUCUGGUCAUCUGCAAGAGCGCUGCAGCAGUGUGGACUAGAGAAUGCCGGUCCUAAAAAUAAUUCUGUCUUGUGGAAUUCAAUGAUCCACCCGCUGCUCAACAUGACCAUCAAAGGAGCCAUCUGGUACCAAGGUGAGGCAAACACGUACUAUCAUAAAGACAAGUACGCCUGCACCUUCCCUGCUAUGAUUGAUGACUGGAGGAUGUCGUUUCACAAGGGCUCAGGGGGACAAACGGCGAAAGACUUCCCUUUUGGAUUUGUCCAGCUGUCCACAGACAUUAAAAACUCCACCAGUGAAUCCUUUCCAAAUGUCCGCUGGCACCAAACGGCAAACUUCGGCUAUGUCCCGAAUGAACGGAUGCAGAAUACCUUCAUGGCCGUGGCUUUGGAUUUACCAGAUCCAGAUUCACCCCUUGGCCCGAUCCAUCCUAGAGACAAGCAGGAUGUAGCCUACAGACUGACACUGGGAGCAAGGGCAGUGGCUUAUAAUGAGAAGGGCGUGGCCUUCCAAGGACCUUUCCCCAAACAAAUUCGGGAUAACGGAACGCAUGUCAUCGUUAACUACGACCAGAAGAUCUCUGUCAACAAGUCUGAUCACAUCUUUGAGAUCUGUUGCACAGAGACUCAAGUUUCAUGUGGGUCUAAGUCUCACUGGGUUCCGGCUCCCAUCGUGUGGAGUAAUAAGACCUCUGUCGAGUUGUCUGCCAAGUUUUGUGAGCCUUCUCAAGAAGUGGGUGCCCUCCGUUACGCAUGGAGAGACUGGCCCUGCGACUUCAAAGCCUGUCCAAUCUACAGCGCCAAUAAGAUUUUGCCUGCGCCUCCUUUUAUUUUCAACCGCUAUUCACCCUAAGGAAAGGAGAGAAGGAAACUGUAAGAUGACAAAGUGAUGUAGUGAUAAAGUGCCUUUUUGUUUCUUUAGGUCAAAGUUGGCUUAUUUGUGGCCAGAUUUGAAAAGCCAGAUCAAGAUUAUCAGUGAUGAGAUGAAAAGUGAUAAGGUGAGAACAAAAUGACACAGACAGUGGAUUGUUACUGUGAGAAGUUGAAUUUAGCAGAUUUUUGUUGUUGUUUUUUUUACUGAUAAUUAAGGCACUUACAAAGCACUUUGGUAUACAAUCUUAAAGAGCAUGUUUUUUGUUUUUUUUUACUUGAUUGUCAAGUCUUUUUUUCUCUUUACAAUCAGUAUGGGUGAGUUAUAGGUAGAGGGGGGCAGUGCCAGAUCCUAUGAAUCGUCAAGCAGUAAAUACCGCCUACAAUUCAUGGCAUCUGGAUACCAAACUUAUCUCAACAUUUAUUUUACCUUCUUUUUUACCACAGUAGUCAGGUUUUGUACAGCAUCCAGUGUGUCUCAUCAGAAUGGAGAAUACCAUUAGACUAAGGCUGCUAUGUCUUAGGUUGUAAUGUCUGGCAGUUUUAGUAGUUAGUCUGGCUGGAGACUCACCUUCCAUUUUAUAGAUUUAUUGAAGCUUAUAAACGCUUGUAGCAGAUGGUUAUAUAUUAUUUUGGUUUCAUCGUUUAUCCUGUUUGAAGUGUAUGCUGGUACAACCACUGCCAAUAAUUGCUGUAAAUAGAAAAGCAUGACAAACGUUGUAUUUGAACAAAACUCUGGAUUUUUUUUAAGUUUACAACAGAAAUGAAUCUUUAUGAUUUUACAAUUUGAACAAAUAAAUGACAGCUCAGCGACUUUUGGUGGGUGUUGUGUUACUUUCAAACCUGAUGCUUUUGCUUAAGAGUAAAAUGGAUGGAUUCACAAUAAAAUCAUUGAUUUAUCAAACGUGGUCUGUUGUUUGAAUUGGGGGAAAAAAUCUGUAAUGUGUUGGUAUCAUACUUUAAGUUGCAGCUCUAACAGUUCAUACCAAUGCAACAGUGUGCUAUGUACCAAAGUGAUGGUGUAUGGGAAAGAAUAAACCUUUUUAGUAAACUACUUUACUUCAACUGUGGCUCAGUUUCUAAAAUUCAGCACAUUUUUAUCCACACAAAAAUUCAUAUGUCAGUACAGAGGUGAUGGGUUUAUGGUUACUAUUGGCACCUAAGUGCAAAGCUAACUCACCAGCAACAUCCAGUAUAUUAGCAUGCUGGCACACAUCCCCAACACUGAUUGAGACUUACAAGAUUAUGACAUACAAUAAAUAGCAUCGUUUGAGUUACUGUAUGCCGCUGUUUACUGAAUCACUAACUCAGGAAGGAGUAUAAAAGAAAACCUUGUC